UCCCAAACCCCUGUGAACAUACCACUUGUUGCCUCGGCGGAUCAGCCCGCUCCCGGUAAAACGGGACGGCCCGCCAGAGGACCCCUAAACUCUGUUUCUAUAUGUAACUUCUGAGUAAAACCAUAAAUAAAUCAAAACUUUCAACAACGGAUCUCUUGGUUCUGGCAUCGAUGAAGAACGCAGCAAAAUGCGAUAAGUAAUGUGAAUUGCAGAAUUCAGUGAAUCAUCGAAUCUUUGAACGCACAUUGCGCCCGCCAGUAUUCUGGCGGGCAUGCCUGUUCGAGCGUCAUUUCAACCCUCAAGCACAGCUUGGUGUUGGGACUCGCGUUAAUUCGCGUUCCUCAAAUUGAUUGGCGGUCACGUCGAGCUUCCAUAGCGUAGUAGUAAAACCCUCGUUACUGGUAAUCGUCGCGGCCACGCCGUUAAACCCCAACUUCUGAAUGUUGACCUCGGAUCAGGUAGGAAUACCCGCUGAACUUAAGCAUAUCAA
This 490-nucleotide ribosomal RNA is filed under the name Fusarium oxysporum. Its description in RNAcentral is "eukaryotic LSU rRNA". The stretch from base 136 to 289 matches the Rfam family "5.8S ribosomal RNA". Lineage: Eukaryota; Fungi; Ascomycota; Sordariomycetes; Hypocreales; Nectriaceae. The record is from RNAcentral.